GCUCCCCCAGCGCCUGCCCACAUGGUCACUCCACUGCAGCCCGCACCACCCUCACCACCCGGAAGGCCACGCCCUCCCCUCACACACCUGCCUCCACUGUGUUCAUGAUGUCACCUCUGCCUGAUGUGGGGUGAGGGCUCCAGCCCGUCCCCCCCGGCCAGUGUGGCCUGUCCUCACAGCGGGCAGAGAGCCCAGGGCCCCGGGGGAGCCAGGAAGGAGGCUGGAGGGACUAGGCUCUGGGGGGGCCUGCACCCCAACCCCCUGGACCCCAGCCCUGGUCCCGGCUGACCUCCCAGGUGCCUGUGGACGUACGAGGUCCAGUUCUCCCCGGAUGGCCAGGUGUUUGCGCCCAUCAGCCGGAAGCCGUCCACCUUUAACCUCUUCGUGUUCAGCCCAGACACGGCGGUCGUCUCUGGCUCCUACCGGGUUCGAGCGGUGGACUACUGGGCCCGGCCAGGCCCCUUCUCGAACCCAGUGCAGUACCUGGAGGCCUCUGCCCGGUGAGGGCCCUGCUGUCCAGUGCCUUUGCGCCUGUGCUGACCGGUGGGCUGGACCGGCACCAGCUGUCCGCCGGUUGUCAGAUCUGCUCUCCCCUCCCGCCUGGUCACUCACCCCCUUAAAGUGCCUUUCCACA
Long non-coding RNA from Myotis brandtii (Brandt's bat), 634 nucleotides. RefSeq lists it as uncharacterized. The record is from RefSeq and is a predicted model, not a curated record. NCBI's taxonomy places the organism in Eukaryota, Metazoa, Chordata, Mammalia, Chiroptera, Vespertilionidae. The transcript is spliced from 2 exons.